Molecule: ribosomal RNA, 499 nt
Filed under: uncultured soil bacterium
Lineage: Bacteria
Description: bacterial SSU rRNA
Rfam family: Bacterial small subunit ribosomal RNA
Source: RNAcentral
AGAUUGAACGCUGGCGGCAGGCCUAACACAUGCAAGUCGAGCGGUAGAGAGGUGCUUGCACCUCUUGAGAGCGGCGGACGGGUGAGUAAUGCCUAGGAAUCUGCCUAGUGGUGGGGGAUAACGUUCGGAAACGGACGCUAAUACCGCAUACGUCCUACGGGAGAAAGCGGGGGACCUUCGGGCCUCGCGCCAUUAGAUGAGCCUAGGUCGGAUUAGCUAGUUGGUGAGGUAAUGGCUCACCCAAGGCGACGAUCCGUAAACUGGUCUGAGAGGAUGAUCAGUCACACUGGAACUGAGACACGGUCCAGACUCUACGGGAGCAGCAGUGGGAAUAUUGGACAAUGGCGAAAGCCUGAUCCAGCCAUGCCGCGUGUGUGAAGAAGGUCUCGGAUUGUAAAGCACUUUAAGUGGAGAAGGUUGAACUUAAUACGUUGCAACUUUGACGUUACCGACAGAAUAAGCACCGGCUAACGUUCGUGUCCAGUCAGCCGCGUUAACG